UGCAAGUCGAGCGGAACGAUCCUAGCUUGCUAGGAGGCGUCGAGCGGCGGACGGGUGAGUAAUGCAUAGGAAUCUGCCCGGUAGUGGGGGAUAACUUGAGGAAACUCAAGCUAAUACCGCAUACGCCCUACGGGGGAAAGCAGGGGCUCUUCGGACCUUGCGCUAUCGGAUGAGCUUAUGUCGGAUUAGCUGGUUGGUGAGGUAACGGCUCACCAAGGCGACGAUCCGUAGCUGGUCUGAGAGGAUGAUCAGCCACAUCGGGACUGAGACACGGCCCGAACUCCUACGGGAGGCAGCAGUGGGGAAUAUUGGACAAUGGGGGCAACCCUGAUCCAGCCAUGCCGCGUGUGUGAAGAAGGCCCUCGGGUUGUAAAGCACUUUCAGCGAGGAAGAAUGCUUGUCGGUUAAUACCCGGCAAGGGAGACAUCACUCGCAGAAGAAGCACCGGCUAACUCCGUGCCAGCAGCCGCGGUAAUACGGAGGGUGCGAGCGUUAAUCGGAAUUACUGGGCGUAAAGCGUGCGUAGGCGGCUUGAUAAGCCGGUUGUGAAAGCCCCGGGCUCAACCUGGGAACGGCAUCCGGAACUGUUAGGCUAGAGUGCAGGAGAGGAAGGUAGAAUUCCCGGUGUAGCGGUGAAAUGCGUAGAGAUCGGGAGGAAUACCAGUGGCGAAGGCGGCCUUCUGGACUGACACUGACGCUGAGGUACGAAAGCGUGGGUAGCAAACAGGAUUAGAUACCCUGGUAGUCCACGCCGUAAACGAUGUCGACUAGCCGUUGGGGUCCUCGAGACCUUUGUGGCGCAGUUAACGCACUAAGUCGACCGCCUGGGGAGUACGGCCGCAAGGUUAAAACUCAAAUGAAUUGACGGGGGCCCGCACAAGCGGUGGAGCAUGUGGUUUAAUUCGAUGCACGCGAAGA
Molecule: ribosomal RNA, 918 nt
Filed under: Halomonas elongata
Lineage: Bacteria; Pseudomonadati; Pseudomonadota; Gammaproteobacteria; Oceanospirillales; Halomonadaceae
Description: bacterial SSU rRNA
Rfam family: Bacterial small subunit ribosomal RNA
Source: RNAcentral